AAAUCACUAACCUCAAUCUUUGAUUUCCAAUUCACCAAUUUCUUCACUUUCUCCUUUCUCUUUGUUCUUCAAUCUCCUUAUCUUUGGUGAAUUAGAAGCCUUUGAGGGUUUUGGGUAGAAAUUUAUGGGGCAAGGUCAAGUUAUUCAAGCUUGAAUAAUUUGUUAAUGGAGGAAAAACCAUGGGGAGAGAGAGGAUUGGGGUUCAGCCGGCUGGUUGGGGGAGAAGGAAAUGAUUUUGUUCUUUUAAUUUUUAUGUUUUUAUGUCCAAUUAAGUUAAAUUUGACUUGUUCAAAAAUUAAGGUAAGUAAAAUUUUAUUUUGACAUCAUAUAUGAUGUCACCAAAGUGAUGUAAUAAUUCCAUUUGCAUUUACUUUUCUUUUUCCUUUAAUUUCUACUCU
This 398-nucleotide unclassified non-coding RNA is filed under the name Hevea brasiliensis (rubber tree). Lineage: Eukaryota; Viridiplantae; Streptophyta; Magnoliopsida; Malpighiales; Euphorbiaceae. The record is from RNAcentral.